UCAUUUUUAUGCGCGUUUUACGAAAACCUGCGGCGAUCGAAUUGCGUCAGAAGAUGGCUGAAACGCAACAGUAGGCCGAAACGUCACGCAAGAAAAAACAAAACCCAAACAUAACAAUAGUAGCAAAACUAGCGCAAAAAAAGGAAACCCGUAGUAGGAAGAAGAAACAUCAUGCUUACGUUAUGUCUUCUGUACUGAAAUUAGACACAAUCGAAUUGAUAAAGUUCUCCCGCAUAAUCACGGCACGGAUCGACUUCCAGUCGGAGGCGUUCUCUCCCAGUAGCAAACAGAUGGACUCCAGUGCCAGCUUGACGACGGCCGGUGGGUUAGCCAUGGAGCGAACCUCCACCAGAUGCUGUUUCUUGAUCGAUUUAACGGCUGCAGGUUUUUAGUUUUGGUGAGUUGAAUAUAAAUACAUUAUAGGUGCGGGGUAGUUGAUGCGUGAAAAUUACAGUUUGGUUAGCGAACAUUUUGGUUGAGAUAUUGUUUUGUAUGUAUGUGUGAGUGUUAGCCGCGUACGAAUAACAGUUGAAAAGAGAAAGAAGAAAAUAAAUACUUUCGUUUAGUUGGUUUCUUGGUUGUGAAAAAAGGAUGAAGUAUAAUUUGUAAUGCACAAUAUGAAUAUAUGUAGGUAUAUGAAUGAAUUAUCGUAUUAUUUGUUCGAUCCGCAUUCCACAUUCGUGCCGAAGUUAUUUGUUUCGCUUGAUAUUCUGAUCAUUGGUAAAUAUUCCAUUAAGCAACACUGCAUGUUUAAGUUAGACUGGAUCAGCGUUAUUGAGCCAACA
Molecule: long non-coding RNA, 785 nt
Organism: Wyeomyia smithii (pitcher-plant mosquito)
Lineage: Eukaryota; Metazoa; Arthropoda; Insecta; Diptera; Culicidae
Exons: 3
Source: RefSeq, a predicted model, not a curated record